GGAGUCUGGUCCAUGUCUCAGUACCAGUGUGGGGGACCUUCCUCUCAGAACCCCUACUGAUCGUCGGCCAGGUGGGCCGUUACCCCGCCUGCAACCUAAUCAGACGCAUCCCCAUCCCAUAGCGGUAAACCUUUGCUCCGAAUUAGAUGCCCGCUUCGGAAAACAUAGGGUAUUAAUCCGAUUUUCACCGGGCUAUGCCCUACUACGGGGAAGGUUGGAUACGCGUUACUCACCCGUGCGCCGGUCGCCAUCAGAGUUUGCAAGCAAACUCCAUGCUGCCCCUCGACUUGCAUGUGUUAAGCCUGUAGCUAGCGUUCAUC
Molecule: ribosomal RNA, 320 nt
Filed under: uncultured Prevotella sp.
Lineage: Bacteria; Pseudomonadati; Bacteroidota; Bacteroidia; Bacteroidales; Prevotellaceae
Description: partial 16S ribosomal RNA
Source: RNAcentral